GUCAAUCAUAGCUUUUGUCUCUGGAGACAUGUUUUGCUAAGGAUCGCAGAUCCACCCUGGAAAAGCUCCUGAUCUUAAUCGUCCUUCUACACCUGAGAUGGUUAAGAUUUUGUUCUUGUGCCAUCCUUAAAGGCACUCUUCUGUCCCUUCUCCACUGUCCUGCUCCUGAGAAAUAACACAGUUUGAUUCAAGGUACUUCCCUUUUCUGUGGCUGCUGGAUUUCAAGACAAAGCUUCCAGAAUGCGGACCUGUUGUACCGGUUCUUCACAAUGUGCUUCCUAGGAGUGGAGGAACAGUGAUGGGCCGUGUUACCUGGUAAACUACUUUCCACCUUUCCAGCCACCAUGCCGUGGGCACCUUUUCUCCAGCUACAGUGUUGUGCCUCACCUCAGCCCCAAAGCAGUGAAGCUGGCUGAUCAUGGACUGAGACGUCUGAAACCAUGAAGCAAAAUAAACCUUUCUCCUUUAAGUUGACUUUCUCAGGUAUUUUGUCACAGUGAUGAAAAGCUGGCCAACACAGGCUUAAAGAUCAGCAAAAUGGAGCUGGAGGCUACUGACAGAAGAGUGUUUCCUCCUGCCUGGACAUGUCCACAGGGUCCUACCUCAACUAUCCUAACAAACAGUGUGGUAUCUGCACAUGUGUAUCAGCCUCAAGAAAGCUUUAUGUUUCAAGGAUUUUAUUUGAAGUUCCUG
This 693-nucleotide long non-coding RNA is filed under the name Heterocephalus glaber (naked mole-rat). RNAcentral describes it as "lncRNA (ENSHGLG00000047675.1)". Lineage: Eukaryota; Metazoa; Chordata; Mammalia; Rodentia; Bathyergidae. The record is from RNAcentral.